AACGAACGCUGGCGGCAGGCCUAACACAUGCAAGUCGAACGCCGUAGCAAUACGGAGUGGCAGACGGGUGAGUAACGCGUGGGAACAUACCCUCCGGUUCGGAAUAACUCAGGGAAACUUGAGCUAAUACCGGAUACGUCCAAGGUUUUAAUCGGCCUUGGAGAAAGAUUUAUCGCUGGAGGAUUGGCCCGCGUCUGAUUAGCUUGUUGGUGAGGUAAUGGCUCACCAAGGCGACGAUCAGUAGCUGGUCUGAGAGGAUGAUCAGCCACAUUGGGACUGAGACACGGCCCAAACUCCUACGGGAGGCAGCAGUGGGGAAUAUUGGACAAUGGGCGAAAGCCUGAUCCAGCCAUGCCGCGUGAGUGAUGAAGGCCUUAGGGUUGUAAAGCUCUUUUACCCGGGAAGAUAAUGACGGUACCGGGAGAAUAAGCCCCGGCUAACUUCGUGCCAGCCGCCGCCGUAAC
Molecule: ribosomal RNA, 464 nt
Filed under: uncultured bacterium
Lineage: Bacteria
Description: bacterial SSU rRNA
Rfam family: Bacterial small subunit ribosomal RNA
Source: RNAcentral